This 1122-nucleotide ribosomal RNA is filed under the name uncultured archaeon. RNAcentral describes it as "bacterial SSU rRNA". It matches the Rfam family "Archaeal small subunit ribosomal RNA", at positions 325 to 1451 of the family's 1478-position model. The record is from RNAcentral.
ACGGGGCGCAGCAGGCGCGAACACUGUGCAAUGCGCGAAAGCGCGACACGGGGAGCUUGAGUGUCUUGGCAUAGCCAAGACUUUUCUCAUUCCUAAAAAGCAUGAGGAAUAAGUGCUGGGUAAGACGGGUGCCAGCCGCCGCGGUAACACCCGCAGCACAAGUGGUGGUCACUUUUAUUGAGCCUAAAGCGUUCGUAGCCGGUUUUGUAAAUCUUUAGAUAAAGCCUGAAGCUUAACUCCAGAAAGUCUGAAGAGACUGCAAGACUUGAGAUCGGGUGAGGUUAAACGUACUUUCAGGGUAGGGGUAAAAUCCUGUAAUCCCGGAAGGACGACCAGUGGCGAAAGCGUUUAACUAGAACGAAUCUGACGGUAAGGGACGAAGGCUAGGGUAGCAAACCGGAUUAGAUACCCGGGUAGUCCUAGCUGUAAACAUUGCCCAUUUGAUGUUGCUUUUCCGUUGAGGGAAGGCAGUGUCGGAGCGAAGGUGUUAAAUGGGCCGCUUGGGAAGUAUGGUCGCAAGACUGAAACUUAAAGGAAUUGGCGGGGGAGCACCGCAACGGGAGGAAUGUGCGGUUUAAUUGGAUUCAACGCCGGAAAACUCACCGGGAACGACCUGUGCAUGAGAGUCAACCUGACGAGUUUACUCGAUAGCAGGAGAGGUGGUGCAUGGCCGUCGUCAGCUCGUACCGUAGGGCGUUCACUUAAGUGUGAUAACGAGCGAGACCCACAUCUUUAAUUGCAAAUGUAUAUGAGAAUAUGCAUGCACUUUAGAGAAACCGCCAGCGCUAAGUUGGAGGAAGGAGUGGUCGACGGCAGGUCAGUACGCCCCGAAUUUCCCGGGCUACACGCGCAUUACAAAGAACGGGACAAUACGUUGCAACCUCGAAAGGGGAAGCUAAUCGCGAAACCCGUCCAUAGUUAGGAUUGAGGGCUGUAACUCGCCCUCAUGAAUCUGGAUUCCGUAGUAAUCGCGGGUCAACAACCCGCGGUGAACAUGCCCCUGCUCCUUGCACACACCGCCCGUCAAACCAUCCGAGUUGGUGUUGGAUGAGGUUUAAUUCGAGAGGGUUAAAUCAAAUCUGAUGUCGGUGAGGAGGGUUAAGUCGUAACAAGGUAGCCGUA